GAAAAUCCGUCGAUUUUUAAAAUCGUGAGGGUUCAAGUCCCUCUAUCCCC
Molecule: transfer RNA, 50 nt
Filed under: Juncus biglumis
Lineage: Eukaryota; Viridiplantae; Streptophyta; Magnoliopsida; Poales; Juncaceae
Description: transfer RNA-Leu
Source: RNAcentral